Molecule: ribosomal RNA, 509 nt
Filed under: uncultured bacterium
Lineage: Bacteria
Description: bacterial SSU rRNA
Rfam family: Bacterial small subunit ribosomal RNA
Source: RNAcentral
UGGCUCAGAACGAACGCUGGCGGCGCGUUUAAGCAUGCAAGUCGAGCGGCAAGGGCCUUCGGGCCCCUAGAGCGGCGGACGGGUGAGUAACACGUGGACAAUCUGCCCCCCGGACCGGGAUAGCCCAGGGAAACCUGGAUUAAUACCGGAUGAGACGGGACCUGCGAUGGCGGGAUCCGGGAAAGGCGCUACGGCGCCGCCGGGGGAUGAGUCUGCGUCCCAUUAGCUAGACGGCGGGGUAACGGCCCACCGUGGCGACGAUGGGUAGCCGGCCUGAGAGGGUGGACGGCCACAUUGGAACUGAGACACGGUCCAGACUCCUACGGGAGGCAGCAGCUAAGAAUCUUCCGCAAUGGGCGAAAGCCUGACGGAACGAACCGCCGCGUGAACGAAGAAGGCCGUGAGGUUGUAAAGUUCUUUUCGGGAGGGGGAACAACCGUGGCAGGGAAUGGCCGCGGGAUGACGUGAAUCCCGGAAUAAGCCCCGGCUAACUACGUGCCAGCCGCUGC